This is a non-coding RNA of Ceratotherium simum simum (southern white rhinoceros), 563 nucleotides long. The record is from RefSeq and is a predicted model, not a curated record. NCBI's taxonomy places the organism in Eukaryota, Metazoa, Chordata, Mammalia, Perissodactyla, Rhinocerotidae.
AAAUAGUUUUAUAUUUCUUCAUUUAGCAAAUAUUUAUUGAGCAGUUCUAUGAGUCAGGUACUAUUUUAGGUGCUGAUGAUAAAAGAUGAACAAGUUAGAAACAGGCCUACUCUCAUGGCCUCUUGAAAGUUAGAGUCUAGUGGAAGAUGCAGAUGGAGUCACUAACAAUAAAAUGUGAUAAAUGUAUUAGUUGUGGUAGGGUGCCAUGAAAGCUAGAGGUGGGACACCCAGUGCUUAUGGUUUCAAGACAGAGUCAAAGGUGAUUUGGAGAAAGCUUCUUAAAGAAUGUUAAAUUUAUGUUGAGACUUUAGGACUGAGUCGUGUGAUCCAUCUUGAGGAAACCAUGUCUUCAGAGGCUCAGAGGGAAGAGAGCAUGGCACAUUCUAGGAACUGAAUGAAGUGGAGGAUGACCAUAAUGUUAAGUAACAGUAGGGGAGCUGUAGUAAAUGAAAACUGGAGAAGGAAGCAAGGGUAAGAGCCUGUCGAGUCUUGUAAGCCACGUUAAAGAGUUUGGACUCUAUCCUACGAACAUUGGAGACCAUUUAAGGGUUUUAAGAAAUCUA